UUUUUUUUAAUGAAUGGAGGGCGGCGGCGACUGCUGCAGCUGGCUCAGCUGCGCGGGCUGUACCCCCUCCCAGCCUGCGAGAGGAGCUUUCCUGAAGCAUGAGGUGAAGAAAGCACAGCCUUGGUGGGAUGGUGAGAAGAAGGAGGAGCCCCCAGCCCUGGCCUGGGUGGAGCCUCUGAUGUGUAAGUAGAGUGUGAUUCCAGACUGUCUGGGAGGAAGCUACUGGAGGACCCACUGCCAAAAUCAAGAUGUAAAUCAAGAGAGCAGAUACACAGGAAUGACUACUUGGAGCUCAGGAAAACUUCCAGUAGAAGACACUGAUGAUGAAAUGACACGUGUGAGCAGUUGCAGGGUGUUGCAAACAGGAGGCUGCAUAAAUUCAAGAUGAGGAAUCCAAGACUCUGAUGGCCCGACUGACUUGCUGAAGGUCACCAGCUAGUAAGUGGCAGAGUCAGGGUUUGAACCCAUGUGGUCUGAGUCUAGAGCCUGGGCUUAGCAUCAUGCUUGCUGUCUCCUCCCAAGUGUCACUCAGUGCCUUGGUUUUGCUUGAAGAGUAUGUCAGGGAAGAAGGAAGACAGAAGGCAGAUGGCUGAGCUUCUUCCUGGUUCUUUGUGUUCAUUUAGCCUUUGGGGCACAUGUAUAGUCGAAACUUGAGGUUUAGAAAUGUAGGCAGCUGGGGUGCUUGGGUGGCUCAGUCCAUUAAGCGCCCAGCUGCAGCACAGGUCAUGAUCUCACAGUUCGUGGAUUUGAGCCCUGC
Herpailurus yagouaroundi (jaguarundi) is the source of this 757-nucleotide long non-coding RNA. RefSeq lists it as uncharacterized. The record is from RefSeq and is a predicted model, not a curated record. The transcript has 5 exons. NCBI's taxonomy places the organism in Eukaryota, Metazoa, Chordata, Mammalia, Carnivora, Felidae.